GGCUCUUUCUCACACCGAACCUGACCUCCUGGGAUUUCCAUAAUGUCCCCCAAAAGGGCUGCGUUGGUUCUUCUACGCUCCUGGGGUCUCAGUCUGGCUGAGCAAACAGGCAACAUUUUUCGAUCCAAAGCAAUACUCUACCUAGUGUGUUUGCAAAGUCUAUUUGCAUCCCGGCCUCCCAGGGAUUCAGAAUCUCUGGUUAAUAGCUGUGGCAGAAGAGUCAACCCAGGUACCAUCACCCCAGAGUCAUGUAAAUGUGGAUAAAGCUCCCAGGUAUGUCUUAAGGCUGCUCAGCACACUUGGCACCGGCAUUGUCUUCUCACUGUGGUUAACAGCAGCUGUGAGGCAUCUAUCUCCUCGGCAGGCAGAUGUGGAGGACAGAGCAUUUUGCAGCUGUGACUCCUAUGAAUGCAUGUGAGCGUCUC
Molecule: non-coding RNA, 425 nt
Organism: Arvicanthis niloticus (Nile rat)
Lineage: Eukaryota; Metazoa; Chordata; Mammalia; Rodentia; Muridae
Source: RefSeq, a predicted model, not a curated record